RNAcentral lists this ribosomal RNA (407 nucleotides) under uncultured bacterium. RNAcentral describes it as "partial 16S ribosomal RNA". It matches the Rfam family "Bacterial small subunit ribosomal RNA", at positions 30 to 526 of the family's 1533-position model. The record is from RNAcentral.
AUUGAACGCUGGCGGCAGGCCUAACACAUGCAAGUCGAGCGGAGCGGCGGACGGGUGAGUAAUGCCUAGGAAUCGGCCUGGUAGUGGGGGAAAACGUCAGGAAACGGGCGCUAAUACCGCAUACUAUCAGAUGAGGCUAGGUCGGAUUGGCUGGUUGGUGGGGGAAAGGACUACCCAGGAGACGCUCCGUAACUGGUCUGAGAGGAUGAUCAGUCACACUGUAACUGAGACACGGUCCAGACUCCUCCGGGAGUCAGCAGUGGGGAAUAUUGGACAAUGGGCGAAAGCCUGAUCCAGCCAUGCCGCGUGGAUGAAGAAGGUCUUCGGAUUGUAAAGCACUUUAAGUUGGGAGGCGUUACCAACAGAAUAAGCACCGGCUAACUUCGUGCCAGCAGCCGCGGUAAUUC